GGAACCCGUCAAUGUUGAUGAACUAGUUGGCAUGUCUCAACUCACUCUGCUAGAGCACGAAAGAGAGCGUAGAGAGCCUUCACCUUUGGCUUUAAAGUUGAUAGGCAAGCGCUCAAGACAGUCAGCAUUCCAUCCAAAUGCUCCAGUUAGUCGUUCAGAGUUAAACAGGGACGACAACGAUACAAUCUAAGAUCUUGAAUCAAGAAGGGAGCAGUCUAC
This 219-nucleotide unclassified non-coding RNA is filed under the name Hevea brasiliensis (rubber tree). The record is from RNAcentral. Lineage: Eukaryota; Viridiplantae; Streptophyta; Magnoliopsida; Malpighiales; Euphorbiaceae.